This 482-nucleotide long non-coding RNA is filed under the name Nicotiana benthamiana. Its description in RNAcentral is "long non-coding RNA (NBEN_LNC021520)". The record is from RNAcentral. Lineage: Eukaryota; Viridiplantae; Streptophyta; Magnoliopsida; Solanales; Solanaceae.
UAAUCCUUCAUUCACAUGCACCAUCUUUUUGUACUUAGAAUCUCUUUAUUUUCUUGAUAACAUAGCCGCAUUGAUUUGACAUUGUAUACUUGUUGUGGUGCAGUUGAGCUCAAUUACUUUGGUAACUGGACUUUUCAUGUGCUUGCGUAGUGCAGCAAAGAUCACACACAAAGCGCAAGCCGUGACAUCACUUGCUGCCAAAUGGCAUGCUUGUGCGACAAUCAGCUCCUUUGAUGACAUGGAUAAUGAGACACCCACGGCUCAGAGUGCGACACCUCAGGUGGUAUACCCUAUCAAUUCCAGUUGGGACACCGAUGAGGAAGGAGACGGAGAUGAUGUCUUUGAUGACAUGGAUAAUGGGACUCCCACGGGUCAGACUGCAACAACUCAGGUUGUAUACCCUAUCAAUCCCAGUUGGGAUACUGACGAGGAAGGAGACGGAGAUGAUGUUUUGGACAACACAAAUAUGGUGCCGGUUCAUG